AAAUAAAGAGAAAAGAAAAAAUUUAUUACCAUUUCUCCUUCUCCCCUCACUCAAUCAACUGAAAUUCUAGACGAAGAUCCCUUCCUCUCGUCCUCCUCCACUACCACAGCCAACGAGGUAGAGUUCUGGCGGUUGCUAAAUGCUUAAAUAAAUAUUGGUAAAUUAGCAGCACUCUUUUUAGCUUAUAGCGACACUCUUUAACUGUCACUAUAUACCUAGCGACCCCACAUAUAGCAACACUUUUUAAAAGUGUCGGUAAUUUAGCCAGCUGCAUUUCUUUUGACCUGUACCGAUAUUUAAAAGUGUCGCUAUAGACCGUUUUUGUUGUAGUGCCUGCAAAUACAAAGGAAAGUCUGUCCGAGCGGACAGAGGAACUUUGUAUUUGUGGCUGGUCUGUACGUCACGUGGGUCGGUUGAAAAAAAAA
This 425-nucleotide long non-coding RNA is filed under the name Ananas comosus (pineapple). RNAcentral's name for it is "long non-coding RNA (ACOM_LNC030434)". The record is from RNAcentral. Lineage: Eukaryota; Viridiplantae; Streptophyta; Magnoliopsida; Poales; Bromeliaceae.